Molecule: long non-coding RNA, 1008 nt
Organism: Fukomys damarensis (Damara mole-rat)
Lineage: Eukaryota; Metazoa; Chordata; Mammalia; Rodentia; Bathyergidae
Source: Ensembl
AAAGAAAUCAUCUGACCUGACCACAAGCCCCAGCUCUCUUACAGGCCACAUGUUAUUCUGAGCAGACUAAAGAUAUUUUAUUGAAAAUAAUUCUCUCUCUCUCUCAAGAAUGCGAUGCGAGGAAAAGCUAAGAAGCCUGACAGAUGGUGGACUGGCCAUGGUCACAGCUUACAGGAGGCAGAGCUGGAGCUCCAGCAUCAGCAAUCCAAGUUCAAGGCCAACGCUCCCAAGCAUAUGCUACAGUGCACCUGCACCCAUCCCAGAGCUUCCCACAGUCAUUCUGGUAAGUCUUAUAAUGGAACCAACAUGACCUUAUUGGUGGGCACUGGCAGUGACUGGGGUCCUAAGAGGCCAUAUCCUGCAGGGGAGACAGAGCUGACGAGGAGACGCCAAGAGCUGAAUGCUGCCAGUAGAUCACAAGAGACUCAUUCUCAUGCCUUAAAAACCCGUCCAGGGCCAGGUUGGAGAUUUAGGUCAGUGGCACCAUGCCCCGCCCUCAGUGCAAGGUCCCGAGUUCGAUCCCCAGUACUGGAAAAAUAAACCAUGCCAGGGCCAUUCUGAGCCAUCCAAAAGGGACAAGGGUGACACACAAGGAUUUUGGCUACUUCAAAAGUAGAAGCUGGACAUGGAGAUGCAUACCUAUAUUUCCAGCUAUACAGGAGGAUCUUUUCAGCCUAGGAGUUUAGGGACGGUGGAGGCAACAUAGAGCUUGACUGCUAUCCUUAACCUAACAUCAAAUUAUUCCUCAAUUAUGUCUACUUGAAAUGCUGUAACUUAUACAAAUUGGUGGAGUUAGUACCACACCAUACAACAGAUUUAAUCACAGUAGCUUUUUAAAAAAUACAUAUCAUGUUGAAGAACUUUGCUUUUAUAAGUUCCUACGAAUUAAGUACCUGUUUGUUUACUAUCAAGUACACCUACCUCUAAGGGAUGGCAAGGCACAAAGGCUCAUACAAGUGCACACAGGCUUCACAUACCCAAUACGAUAAGAGAAGAGGCACACUGCAC